UGGCGGACGGGUGAGUAACGCGUAAGAAUCUAGCUUCAGGUUCGGGACAACAGUUGGAAACGACUGCUAAUACCGGAUGUGCCUACGGGUGAAAGGCUUGCUGCCUGAAGAAGAGCUUGCGUCCGAUUAGCUAGUUGGUAAGGUAAGAGCUUACCAAGGCGUCGAUCGGUAGCUGGUCUGAGAGGAUGACCAGCCACACUGGGACUGAGACACGGCCCAGACUCCUACGGGAGGCAGCAGUGGGGAAUAUUGGACAAUGGGCGAAAGCCUGAUCCAGCAAUGCCGCGUGGAUGAAGAAGGUCUUCGGAUUGUAAAGUCCUUUCGGCGGGGACGAUAAUGACGGUACCCGCAGAAGAAGCCCCGGCUAACUUCGUGCCAGCAGCCGCGGUAAUACGAAGGGGGCUAGCGUUGCUCGGAAUGACUGGGCGUAAAGGGCGCGUAGGCGGUUUGGUUAGUUAGACGUGAAAUUCCCGGGCUCAACCUGGGGACUGCGUUUAAGAC
RNAcentral lists this ribosomal RNA (501 nucleotides) under uncultured Acetobacteraceae bacterium. RNAcentral's name for it is "bacterial SSU rRNA". It matches the Rfam family "Bacterial small subunit ribosomal RNA", at positions 96 to 633 of the family's 1533-position model. The record is from RNAcentral. Lineage: Bacteria; Pseudomonadati; Pseudomonadota; Alphaproteobacteria; Acetobacterales; Acetobacteraceae.